AAGUUGAGGUGCUCUCAAGAAGCUUUGUUCAAGGCCUUUCUCACCAUCAUUUCUUGUCAUCUCAUCCUAAGAUUACAACCCUAGCCUUGUGCUAGUAGUAGUCGUGUUUGCUGAGGAGAUUUGGGUUACGAGUACCGAAGACGCAAUACUGAAAUUAAGUAUGGAUCUGGCGGGCGUUGGAAUUUCAAGUCAUGAUUAAGUAUAAAGAUGUAAUCCAUGGUUUUUAGGUUUGGCCAGUGUGUCUUAAUUCUGGACGAGACACGGCUUCCAAACUUGGAUUACAACUAUUAUCUUUGACGAGUCCUUAGUAAACUUUUACACAAUUCAU
Molecule: long non-coding RNA, 328 nt
Organism: Helianthus annuus (common sunflower)
Lineage: Eukaryota; Viridiplantae; Streptophyta; Magnoliopsida; Asterales; Asteraceae
Exons: 3
Source: RefSeq, a predicted model, not a curated record